UCUUUUUCUUCUCGUUUUCUCUUCAUCUUCUACUGUUUUAUCUGCUGGUGGAAUCCGGAUCUGUGAUCGAUUAAUCUCCGGUGGAAUCCAAGAAUUAAUUCAUCAUCACAAUCCAUAGCCGAUCCUUAUAGAUCGACUAUAUCAGGUCCAUAACCCAAUUCUAAGGUUGGGGUACUAUUAGUACUCCCCCUUUUCCUUGGGGAGUCUUUUAUGGGUUGCGGCCUACGGGCUCCUUGUACUUGCUUGGUCUUUGAGCCUGACGUGUUUGUACUCUGACCUUGGGAUUGGAAUGUUGUUAGCGCUUCUCCUAUAAAUGCGGGUUUCCCCAAACAUGGUCUCAAUAUUACAUUGUCUUCUUUGGCUAUCCUCGAGGAGCUUGCGUGAAAUUUGGUGCACCUGCAAACCGUUUGGUCCGUGUGUCUAAUCUUGUCCGUGUAACAAAGAGUUACCGACUGAAUUCUUUGUUGAUGGGUGUGCAUCGUCGGCUAGCGUUACAUCGUCGACGUUGGUUAGUCUCCUUCUCUCAUCCAUUUCAAAGAAUGUGAAUUUUUCGUGUUUCACGUCAGGCUCUCCUCUAUUUCAACAAAUGAUCACUCACUUCUUGGAUAAUCUGAUUUGAUAAAAUGGUAAAAAGUCCCUAUUACAAUGAUGUGAUUUAUCAUUUAUAGUACACUAUUAGUGUUGAGAAGCCCUUGUGGGUUAUGUCCAUUUUGGGAUUGUGGAAUUUAAGACCCAUGCCCUACCUGACCACCUCGGGUUCGAGUUUUACCCACCCGAUGCCUAGGCUAGGCUAGGUGUUAUCCAUAUGAUGUUUGGAAACCAAUCCCAAUUACAUCCCCUCAUUGAAACAAAUACUGUUUACUCAUAAUAGAUGAGUAUUUUAGGUUUUCAUAUGGUUUUAUCCUUUAAAAUCAAAGGAUGAAGUGUUUAGUAUUUUUAGAGAUUUUCGUAUGAUGAUUGAAAAUUAUUCAGACUGAUGGAGGAGGUAAAUUUCAGAAUUCUUCCAUUCAUUCUCACUGUAAGUUUCAUAAUAUGGGUUAGUGGAGAAGAAGCAUCGACAGAUUAUCUUUGUCUUUAGGUGUUUUUUUCAUUAAUCAGAAAUACCUAAAAUUUAUUGACCAGAAACAUUCUCUACUUUUGUUUAUGCUAUUAAUAGACUUCCCUUAAAAAAAUUAGGAUUUUCCCCACCUUAUUUCAUUUCAUACAAUAAGAAACCAGGUGAUAGUACAAGAUCUGGCACACAGAUUGCAGUACUAAAAGGCAUCCCUCGGAAAACCUGAUACGCAAUGGAAGGGGAGGUUCCAAGUCGAUUUAUGGGAAGGUCGACUUUUUCAGAGAUCGACUUUUCAGAAGUCGACCUAGACAAAGUCGACUUCUAGAAAAGUUGAUCCCAUAAAGUCGACUUCGAACCAGAUCUGGAUAGUUAGGCGGUUACGACCCUAAUGACCAGAUAACUUUAUAAAAAUCCUAUAAAUAGAGAAUCACUCCCAUUCAUUUGGGCAGGUUGAAUUCCAAAGAGAAGUCUCAGCGAAAUAGAGCCAGAGCAACUGAAAAAUCCGAAUUGAUUUCCAUGAGAAAUUUCCAACUUGAUGCUUGUUCGAAACGUCGUCGAACACUGAUCGAGUUCCACCCUCAUCACCAGACAUUAAUUAUUUUAAAUUUUUUAGUUCGCAAUCUUUUCCUCUUAUACCUAAACAAAUGAGGAACAAAUUUGUACCCACCCUCUCAUAAAGUCUAUAAAUGCCUGAGGCUUAAGGAUUCUAAAAUUUUUAUCUCUAUGCAUGUUAAAUUUUAUGAGGAGGUUUAUCUAUCCAAAGAGUACAAAUUAGAAACAUCUUCUUUAAAAACAAACCUUCCCAAAAUUUUACCACCUCCACAAGAAAUUAGUACUACACCUAUGGUAUUGUCAAAUUUAUCAAUUUUUUUGAUAAUAAUAGGUUAGAAACAUCAGAUGACUCAAUAACAAACAUAGGUCAAACAACUUCAACAAAUAAUUCUUCAUGAAUGAGGCUGGAAAUGUGGAUUCCGGUUAAAAUACAACUGUUCAAUCUUCAAUUCUAUCUGCUCAAUCCCUAGGGCAAACUUCUGGUGCUCAACCAUUAGAACAAACUUCUGGUGCUCAACCCUUAGAGAAAACUUCUGUUGUUAAUUAAGUUAUCAAAAUGGGACGACCCGUCCGGGUUUCGCUCUGCCCCGAGACCCGCUCCGGAAUAUGACCGGGGCAAAAGUAAAAAAACGGGCGGCUAAAAUAUAAAAGACGAUUCUUGAAGUUUUUUCCAAACUUGUAGACCGUUGGGAAUGUCAUUUACAUAAUUCUUGAGAAAACUUUUCGUGCUACCUGCAAUAAUGGAAUGAAAAGAAGCAGCAGCAUGAUGAGGUUUGACAGCACCAUUCUCCUUGAUCCAUCUAAACAUCUUAAGCCUAUUCCUGAUGCUUUCGAUAUCAUAGCAAAAAUACAUUGGAAAAUUGAUGACUGUAUCUAAUGGAUACCCACCAAUAUUAACCAUAUAAUCGAUCUUGGUCCUCAAGUUUUUUGUGGUUUGAUUCAAAAUCUUUGGACAUUCUUUAACUAUUUUCGAACAAACUUCAAAUCCCAGGCCAGCUUCUAACAACACGUUAAACCUGGCUUCCAACCGACUACCAGAGCCUUGAAACUGAGCUUGAGCAGCCUCCAUCUCGUUGAAAUUCUCUGAGAAACCAAUUUUAACCAAAAAAUCCAUCUUAUUGAUUGAUUCUUUUCGAUAUAACAAAGGUAAUACAACCAUUGACUUCUGGGUAUUCUUUUCAGAGAGUAAUAAUUCACUCAACUCGGUCGGAUCGUGGAGCAUCAUCGAACGGAGCUUUUGAGCAUCAAUGUUGUCUAUGGUUGCAAGCAAGUAUUCCGGUUUUUUGCUCAGUAAAUAUACCAAGGAAGAACAUGGUUGGGAGGCGAGUAGUGUUGCGGUUUCCUCAGGGUUCAGAAACUCGACCCAUUUCAGUAGAAUCUUCAGAAUUGAUUGCCGGGAUACGAUUUGGGGGAAGUUUAGCAGCAAUUCCAAAAUCUCAUAACGAUUUAGACCUAUUUUUAGAAAAAUGGGCAUUGCCAUGUACGGUAUUUUACCUGGUUGGUCGAAGAGAAACCAAGGAUUUUUUUUUAUCAUGGUCCUGAGGUCAUCUUCUUGACAAUCCAUCUGAUGCAGGAAGAAUUCCAGUAAUGGAAGCAUCAUGUCCCAUCGAUACUUAUAUUUAGUUGACAAAUUCGACCUGAUCCAUUUCUGUUGGAACCCAAAUUCUUUCAACGCCACAACAGUUUGGACGAAUUGCUCAUUUUCGGUAGAGGAUAGAAGAAGAAUAUUAGGGCAACUCGAUACCAACUUGAUGACGGUCGAGACUUCCAAACCUAUUUCAUUUUCAAACCCUUCCAGUUUGGACUUGAGAACACCUUGUUCCAUCUUGAAAACCUCGUGUGCUUCCUUGUAUAUUUUACCGAUUUUGAAGCGGGGGAUCCCGUAAUUGCACAGAACGUGGUAGUUUUCAAGUAGUCCGGCAUCAUCGCUGAGGAAAAAACACAGAGCACGGCUGGAGGUGGAGAGGAGACGCUGAAUCUCCAAUGGACUGAGCCCUGAGCUUUCCAGAAACGGAUUGAACUCAUUGAUCGGAUUGUACCGUAGGAACUUCUUGACCUCGCUACAAACAUUGCCGUGCUGAUUUGAAGGAAUCCGAGUUUCUAGGUUUUUGAAAAGGAAUUUGACGAAAUGAGGCGAAUUCUUACUUAUAUGUCUGGCGUCCAAGUAGUUCAAGCUCCGUGUACAGUGAAAGUAAUCCAUCAGUGCCUCCUCCACCUCCACUCGAAAUAAACCAUUAAACCUUGGAUUGACGGAGGAGGAAGAAGAUAAACUCCGGCCACCAAAAAAUCUCAAACAGGCUUGGCAUUUCAUCAAAUACCUUGCAGGCGUCAUAUCCGACGACCUGAUUUCAACGAACAGGAGGCUUCUAGAAGUUUCUUGAUUGCAGCGGUGGAGAUUUGUCUGAUCUUCGUUCGGAGAAACUGAUCCAGAAUUGAACCAAAACUUGAAGAACCUUUCUUUGAUCUAACUCCUCUCUCCGGCCGGAUCUACUCCCCACGUCGGUCUCUUCCUUAAAGAUUGGGAUGAAUCGAUGAAACAUUGUUAAUUGUGUCAAACGAAUCUGGUCGAGUCGGGCCUGGAGUCACUAAAUAAACAAGCCUAUUUAUUUGAUUAUUACGGGCCGGGCUCAUACAGCUUAAUUAAAUUUUGAGCCAAAAAUGAUUAAAUAUAGUUUAUGAACUAUAAACAAUAUAAAUCAUAUAUCAGGGUUCGGACUAAAAUUCGAAUCUUACUUUGUACAUUUUCACUUAAAUUUAUCCGAUGAUAUAUUAUGUGGCUUUGGUAUAUCAUCUGAAAGUUGACAACUCUACAUCUGUAGAGAGAUACUCCUCCGUUAUAGAAAAAAUAAAAUCAUAUAUUAACUAACAAGGUUAUGAACUCAAAAGAUCAUAUAAUAUAAAAUCAUAUAUAUUAUACAUGAUGAAUAUAAAAUUCGUAUGAGCUCAAAAGAUCAAUAGUGCUCAAGCAUCUGAACCAUCCGAUCUGGAUGGAUAAAUGUACACCGUCCGUGUAAUAAUCAUAUCAAAUUGUACAAAGUGUGAGUUGAUAACUGCCACCACCUUACUUACAAAAAGCUAAAUUUCUCGUUUUUCCCACCACUCUCCACACUCACGUCUCCCCCGUUUUCGUUUCUCCAAAGUCGAGUCUCUCCCACACCGACGAUUUUCUCUUUCGAAGUCUUAUUCGAACGCGUUCUCCCGACGCGGUCUCCCAACUGCAACAGUGAGUCCAUAUUUUUAACCAUUGCUCCUACGUUUUUAUCCCCAUCACUCUCAUCAGCUUUCUCAGUCACUCUUUUUCUUUCCUUCGGUGCUACAACUCUACUAUAGAUUCUAGAUCUCAGUCUCUCAGAUGUUUUAGAGCGAUGUUGUUUGUCUUGAUUUUGGAUCUAGGAGUUUCUACCAGAAUUCGGCCGGUAAAAGUUGCUUUUUUCUUUUCUUUUUUAAAAGGGGGGAGGGUUAUAAUUUAUUACAACAAUUGAGUGGGUUUUUUCUCACCAAGGAUUUUUGGAUUUGGGUUUUUUGUUUGUUGGCAGGAAGUGAUUUGAUAUAGUGUAUGUCGAUUUGUUUGUGUGUGUAUAUUUUUGAGGGUAAUAUUUUUGAGGAUGUUCAAUUGACAAUGUGUUAUUAUUCCGAAAGUAGGUGUUGUGGUUGUUCCUGAAGAGGUUGGUGUUGUAGUGCCGGAAGAAGUUGUCGGUUGCUGUUCCUGAAGAAGGUAGCAAUGUUGUUCCGAAAGUAGGUGUUGUUGUUGUUCCUGAAGAAGGUAGCGAUGUUCCGAAAGUAGGUGUUGUUGUUGUUCCUGAAGAAGUUGAUGAUGUUGUUCCGAAAGUAGGUGUUGUUGCUGUUCCUCAAGAACAUGUAACUGAUGUUCGUGAAGCAGUAGAAGAUGUGAAUGAUGUUGUUCCUGAGGUAGAUGGAAAUGUCGGUCAUGAAGCAGAUGUUGCUGAGGUAGAAGCAAGGGUCGUCUCUGAGAAAGAUGAUGUUCAUUUUCGACAUAUUCUGUGUUGGUACGAUGAUUUGUUCAUUUGUAAAACAACGGAAUGAAGAAGUUCCUAUUUCGAAAUGUGAAUAGGUAAUUCAACAUGUAUUGUCUUGGUAAAUAGUUUGUUGGUUUACGGAACAACAGAAUAAAGAAGUCCAUGGUAAUUCGACAUGUACU
This 5765-nucleotide long non-coding RNA is filed under the name Zostera marina. Its description in RNAcentral is "long non-coding RNA (ZMAR_LNC001564)". The record is from RNAcentral. Lineage: Eukaryota; Viridiplantae; Streptophyta; Magnoliopsida; Alismatales; Zosteraceae.